This 743-nucleotide ribosomal RNA is filed under the name uncultured marine bacterium. Its description in RNAcentral is "bacterial SSU rRNA". It matches the Rfam family "Bacterial small subunit ribosomal RNA", at positions 69 to 785 of the family's 1533-position model. The record is from RNAcentral.
GGCUCCGGUGCUUGCACUGGAAGACCCGAGUGGCGAACGGGUGAGUAACACGUGACCGACCUGUCCUAGGGUGAGGGAUAACCCGGGGAAACCUGGACUAAUACCGCAUGAUGUCACACUUCCGCAUGGUCGUGUGAUCAAAGGGGGCCUCUACAUGUAAGCUCUCGCCCAAGGAGGGGGUCGCGACGUAUCAGCUUGUUGGUGGGGUAAUGGCCUACCAAGGCUACGACGCGUAGCGGAUCUGAGAGGAUGAUCCGUCACAUUGGGACUGAGAUACGGCCCAGACUCCUACGGGAGGCAGCAGUAGGGAAUAUUGCGCAAUGGGCGAAAGCCUGACGCAGCGACGCCGCGUGUGGGAGGAAGCCUUUCGGGGUGUAAACCACUGUCAGAGGGGAAGAACCGCGACUUUUCGAACAGAGAGUCGUCUGACGGUACCCUCAGAGGAAGCGCCGGCUAACUCCGUGCCAGCAGCCGCGGUAAGACGGAGGGCGCAAGCGUUGUUCGGAAUUACUGGGCGUAAAGCGCGGGCAGGUGGUCCGUUAAGUCGUCUGUGAAAACCCGGGGCUCAACCCCGUGGAAUGCAGGCGAAACUGGCGGACUAGAGAUCGGUAGAGGCUAACGGAAUUCCUGGUGUAGCGGUGGAAUGCGUAGAUAUCAGGAAGAACACCAGUGGCGAAGGCGGUUAGCUGGGCCGAGUCUGACACUCAUCCGCGAAAGCGUGGGGAGCAAACAGGAUUAGAUAC